Molecule: ribosomal RNA, 625 nt
Filed under: PAH-contaminated sludge bacterium PB-14
Lineage: Bacteria; Pseudomonadati; Pseudomonadota; Betaproteobacteria; Burkholderiales; Burkholderiaceae
Description: bacterial SSU rRNA
Rfam family: Bacterial small subunit ribosomal RNA
Source: RNAcentral
UACACAUGCAAGUCGAACGGCAGCACGGGAGCAAUCCUGGUGGCGAGUGGCGAACGGGUGAGUAAUACAUCGGAACGUGCCCUGUCGUGGGGGAUAACUAGUCGAAAGAUUAGCUAAUACCGCAUACGACCUGAGGGUGAAAGCGGGGGACCGUAAGGCCUCGCGCGAUAGGAGCGGCCGAUGUCUGAUUAGCUAGUUGGUGGGGUAAAGGCCCACCAAGGCGACGAUCAGUAGCUGGUCUGAGAGGACGAUCAGCCACACUGGGACUGAGACACGGCCCAGACUCCUACGGGAGGCAGCAGUGGGGAAUUUUGGACAAUGGGGGCAACCCUGAUCCAGCAAUGCCGCGUGUGUGAAGAAGGCCUUCGGGUUGUAAAGCACUUUUGUCCGGAAAGAAAUCCCUUGCCCUAAUACGGCGGGGGGAUGACGGUACCGGAAGAAUAAGCACCGGCUAACUACGUGCCAGCAGCCGCGGUAAUACGUAGGGUGCGAGCGUUAAUCGGAAUUACUGGGCGUAAAGCGUGCGCAGGCGGUUUUGUAAGACAGGCGUGAAAUCCCCGAGCUCAACUUGGGAAUGGCGCUUGUGACUGCAAGGCUAGAGUAUGUCAGAGGGGGGUAGAAUUCC